CUGCUUGAGCUGUCCAUAGCAGACAUCCUUGCUCCUUGUUCACUGCAAGCAUUCUCCAAUACAGCAUUGAACAGGACACAAGAAAACUGGAACUCGGCAAGAUUCUGAAGUAUUUCACCCUUUGUUUCACCACCUUCAAUCUCAUAAGAGUCAAGUUCUCCAAGUUUUCCCCCAGAUUCAGCCUCUUUCUCCACAACCUCUGGAGAUAAAACAGUUGACAUGGUUGGAAUAAAUGAAACAACUGAAUGGAACUUGUUGAAGACAAUCCUCAAAGCAUCAUACUCCACAUUCUUUAAGAUGUCAUCUGCCAGAACAGAGACCUGAGUAUAGUUCAGAGGAUUCUUCUGCAACUCAGUAAUGGAUAGUUCAAUGUCCUUCCUCGAGUCACGAAUCAACUGAGCCUUCGCCUUUUCUCCCAAGAUGACAUAUUUUGUUUCUUUCUCAGGACCAGCAGUCAACUUGUGUAUAGCCUUGCUUAUCUUGACAGAUGUGGAGUUAAUUCCUCCACAUAGACCUUUGUCUGAAGAAAUAGUGACAAUUACAUUCUUCUUCACAUCCACACUAGGAACAUCGCCAAGAUGGCUGCCAUAGGCCACGGGAAUUUUCUGCUCCAGUUUGAAUUGCACGUAACUUUGAGGCUG
This 641-nucleotide unclassified non-coding RNA is filed under the name Hevea brasiliensis (rubber tree). Lineage: Eukaryota; Viridiplantae; Streptophyta; Magnoliopsida; Malpighiales; Euphorbiaceae. The record is from RNAcentral.